This 399-nucleotide long non-coding RNA is filed under the name Salmo salar (Atlantic salmon). Its description in RNAcentral is "lncRNA (ENSSSAG00000095667.1)". The record is from RNAcentral. Lineage: Eukaryota; Metazoa; Chordata; Actinopteri; Salmoniformes; Salmonidae.
AAUUUUAUUGUCACGAAUUGCGCCAUGCGCGCGACACUUCUUUACCAUUUCGGAUAGUGUCUGGAACGCACGAACAAAACGCCGCUAUUCGGAUAUAACGAUGGAUUAUUUUGGACCAAACCAACAUUUGUUAUUGAAGUAGACGUCCUGGGAGUGCAUUCUGACGAAGACAACAAAAGAUGCCAACAGACAGACAGUUGUGGCCCAGAUGGACAUGCAGACGACCAGCACAAGCCCCAGAAACGUAGGCUGCUGGCAUAUGUCAACAGAGAGAUUGAUGUCAUGGAUCGUCAUCGUGGUAACAUAUGGCCAAGGCAAAGAAAGUUGAUUUCCCUUCUGGUUGGAACCAACAUGCAGUACCUCCAGAAAGAACCAUUCGCCCGCCACCUCAGGGACCAG